AAGCCACAAAGUAUCUUAGAUCUAAUCCUUAUUCCUUCCUUUUCUCUUUAAGAAAUAUUGUCCUCUUCAGAUGCUUUGGACAUCGUCAGACAUUGACGGGAGAACUAUCACUAUACCACUUUUACCAGCUGGAGUUCAAAGUAGAAGAUGGCGGCCAGCACAGUAGAUAUUCAUGCCACUUUUGUGUGUGGUUGAGCAUGUUGGGCUCUUGUUGUGUACUUUUUUCAUGAUGCGAAUGCUGGAGGGGAAGCUGUCUAUCUGCUUAACAGUCUAUGAAGAAAAAACAUUCUGGCCUAGUCGACUCAGACAGCAAAAUGGCAUCCAGACGAAGACGUUAGUUUACUGCUGCUCAAGCCAUAAAUCUUUGUUGGAUGAAGAGGCGUCUGACAGUGACAACGACCAUGAGCUGAGGGGUUUUUAACACAAGACUCGGAACGCCAAGGGUUUUUUUUAAAACUCAAGACUCAGAUAUAAGUUUAGUUCAGAAUCUGGGGAUUCAUGUUAAAAAGAAACGUAGAAUGUAAAUAAUAUUUUUGUUGGUAUAUUUCUUAUUUUGUUGACUCUGGGUGACAGAGUUAUAUCUGCACACAGCCUGCGAUACCCUUUGCGGCAACAUACCUUGUAAUCCUUCAUUGAGAUUCGGUAUAGUUGAGGUUAUUUUGAUAAGAUGUCUAGAUCUAAUAUAGCAUUGUUUUUAUCAGUUCCGGAGCCUUUUCCUACUCAUUUUAAAUCUCAUUUUACAGAUAAAAAUUUGAAAUUGCUAUUUUCUCCUGAAGAAGGGUGGGGGGUGGGGGGUGAAUGAUAUAAAUCAUAUUGCUACAUUUCUUGAUGUAGUCUACAAUUUAAAAAUUCAAAUAUUUCAAACAAUAAGAUUCUAUUUAAUUUGGUAAAAAUUUGCUUGUUUAAACAUUCCUGCUGGUUUGUUGAUAAAGGUGUGCUUUGAACUUGUUAGUGCGGUACAAUAAAAGUUCAUUCAAAGAAGUA
Molecule: long non-coding RNA, 984 nt
Organism: Aplysia californica (California sea hare)
Lineage: Eukaryota; Metazoa; Mollusca; Gastropoda; Aplysiida; Aplysiidae
Exons: 2
Source: RefSeq, a predicted model, not a curated record